RNAcentral lists this ribosomal RNA (301 nucleotides) under uncultured bacterium. RNAcentral's name for it is "partial 16S ribosomal RNA". It matches the Rfam family "Bacterial small subunit ribosomal RNA", at positions 509 to 807 of the family's 1533-position model. The record is from RNAcentral.
CAGCCGCCGCGGUAAUACGAAGGGGGCUAGCGUUGCUCGGAAUGACUGGGCGUAAAGGGCGCGUAGGCGGCGGCCAAAGUCAGGCGUGAAAUUCCCGGGCUCAACCUGGGGGCUGCGUUUGAUACUUGGUUGCUUGAGUGGGGAAGAGGGUCGUGGAAUUCCCAGUGUAGAGGUGAAAUUCGUAGAUAUUGGGAAGAACACCGGUGGCGAAGGCGGCGACCUGGUCCUUUACUGACGCUGAGGCGCGAAAGCGUGGGGAGCAAACAGGAUUAGAUACCCGGGUAGUCCCUGUCUCUUAUAC